RNAcentral lists this ribosomal RNA (579 nucleotides) under Pezizaceae sp. C14. RNAcentral's name for it is "eukaryotic LSU rRNA". The stretch from base 200 to 353 matches the Rfam family "5.8S ribosomal RNA". The record is from RNAcentral. Lineage: Eukaryota; Fungi; Ascomycota; Pezizomycetes; Pezizales; Pezizaceae.
ACUGUCAGCGACUGACGGAGGAUCAUUACAGUAAAUACGUGUUCCUAGGAAUAUGCAUUUUCAAACCCCUCUGUGUACCUUACCUGUUGCUUCCGUGCUGCGUGGACUUCGGUCCCCUCCCUCGCUGGAGUGCCGGCACGGCUAACAAAACUCAUGCAUUUCAUGUCAUCUGUCUGAACUGAUAAAUACAAAAAGUUAAAACUUUCAACAACGGAUCUCUUGGUUCUCGCAUCGAUGAAGAACGCAGCGAAAUGCGAUAAGUAGUGUGAAUUGCAGAAUUCAGUGAAUCAUCGAAUCUUUGAACGCACAUUGCGCCUCCUGGUAUUCCGGGAGGCAUGCCUGUUCGAGCGUCAUUAAAAUCAACUCAAGCUCUUUUGCUUGGUCAUGGAAGAAGAGUCUGCAUCGCGGUCUCCCCUCCGAAAUCCAAUGGCGGAAGGUCACUGGUACCCGGCGUAGUAUUAACGUUCGCUGUGUAUCCAGAGCCAUUCCCGCCCAACAACCCCCUUUCUCGUGAUUGACCUCGGAUCAGGUAGGGAUACCCGCUGAACUUAAGCAUAUCAUAAGGGGGGAGGGAAAAAA